This 229-nucleotide long non-coding RNA is filed under the name Elaeis guineensis (African oil palm). RNAcentral's name for it is "long non-coding RNA (EGUI_LNC078603)". The record is from RNAcentral. Lineage: Eukaryota; Viridiplantae; Streptophyta; Magnoliopsida; Arecales; Arecaceae.
CCAACCUGAUGCCACCCUGAAAGGCAUCCACCAGGCGAUCUACGACCUCCAUGGCCAGAUCUCAGCAAGAUCUGCCAGCUUCGACUUCAUCUUCAAUUUUUCAGGUUCCUCCUCCUCCGGCAACGGCAGUCGGCAUGGAUCAAUUCGACCUACUGGUUUAGUAGGUUAGGGGCCUCACCGAAGUGGUGCAAGCCAUGCAAUAACAGCAGCAGCCGCAGGCAUCUGUGCG